AUCGAACGCUGGCGGCGUGCUUAACACAUGCAAGUCGAGCGGCAGCGCGGGAGCAAUCCUGGCGGCGAGCGGCGAACGGGUGAGUAAUGCUUCGGAAUCUGCCCUUCAGUGGGGAAUAACCAGUCGAAAGACUGGCUAAUACCGCAUACGAACUGAGGUUGAAAGCAGGGGAUCGCAAGACCUUGCGCUGAUGGAUGAGCCGAAGUCGGAUUAGCUAGUUGGUAGGGUAACGGCCUACCAAGGCGACGAUCCGUAGCUGGUCUGAGAGGACGACCAGCCACACUGGGACUGAGACACGGCCCAGACUCCUACGGGAGGCAGCAGUGGGGAAUAUUGGACAAUGGGGGCAACCCUGAUCCAGCGACGCCGCGUGUGUGAAGAAGGCCUGCGGGUUGUAAAGCACUUUUAGUGGGGAGGAAGGUCUGCGACCUAACACGUCGUGGAAUUGACUUAACCCACAGAAAAGCACCGGCUAACUCUGUGCCAGCAGCCG
Molecule: ribosomal RNA, 493 nt
Filed under: uncultured bacterium
Lineage: Bacteria
Description: bacterial SSU rRNA
Rfam family: Bacterial small subunit ribosomal RNA
Source: RNAcentral